RNAcentral lists this ribosomal RNA (468 nucleotides) under uncultured bacterium. RNAcentral describes it as "partial 16S ribosomal RNA". It matches the Rfam family "Bacterial small subunit ribosomal RNA", at positions 28 to 507 of the family's 1533-position model. The record is from RNAcentral.
GACGAACGCUGGCGGCGUGCUUAACACAUGCAAGUCGAACGGAAAGGCCCUGCUCUUGUGGGUUGCUCGUGUGGCGAACGGGUGUGUAACACGCGAGUAUCCUGUCCUUGACUUUGGGAUAACUCUAGGAAACUGGGGCUAUUAUCGGAUAGGAGCUCCUGCUGCAUGGUGGGGGUUGGAAAGUUUCGGCGGUUGGGGAUGGACUCGCAGCUUAUGAGCUUGUUGGUGGAGUAGUUGCUUACCAAGGCUUUGACGGGUAGCCGGCCUGAGAGGGUGACCAGCCACAUUGGGACUGAGAGACGGCGCAGACUCCUACGGGAGGCAGCAGUGGAGAGUAUGGCACAGUGGGCGGAAGCCAGAGGCAGCAACGCCGCGUGCGUAAUAACGGCCUUCGAGUUAUAAACCGCUGUCGACGGUGACGAAGCGGGAGUGACGGUAAUUGGUAAAGAAGCACCGGCUAACUACGUG